GACUUCUUGAGUGGCCUAGUGGUUAGAGCAUUUGCCUCGGAUGCAGGAGGUAGUGGGUUUGAUCCCGGCCAAGUCA
Non-coding RNA from Potamilus streckersoni, 76 nucleotides. NCBI's taxonomy places the organism in Eukaryota, Metazoa, Mollusca, Bivalvia, Unionida, Unionidae. The record is from the annotation of a GenBank genome assembly.